Molecule: long non-coding RNA, 1113 nt
Filed under: Salmo salar (Atlantic salmon)
Lineage: Eukaryota; Metazoa; Chordata; Actinopteri; Salmoniformes; Salmonidae
Description: lncRNA (ENSSSAG00000086590.1)
Source: RNAcentral
AUCUUCUUACAACAUUUACAUGCGAGAAAUGUGAACACUAUAGGGAUGUUAACCUUACUAUGUUUAAUGAGGCAACUGCCGAAUUUACUUGAGCCAUGUGAUAACUAAGCAACAAGCAUUCAACUAAUAGAAGUUUAAAAGAGAAUGAAAAACAGUUAAAUAAUUAAAACAAGAAAAACAUCAUCAAUCCCAGUUCAGAACUAUUGCCUUUUUGAGUGAACUUUGGAGAUGCCGGCCCUGUGGAAGUCCUUUGUCCAAAGCGUGUUGAAUGCAUGCACUGAAACAAUCAGAAAACACAAAACAAAACAACAUUAAGAUACUGAAAACAAUUACUUAAAACAUUUUAUAUUUUGGCAUCUUAUUAAAAGGCAGACUCAGCGACUAAUGGGCAGGUAUGAAUUUGGAAAAGCUGUCAGGAAUCCCGCUUCCUGAGUCUGUUUUCUGCCUGAGCUGACAGUUUUUUUGUUUUGGAGUCUGUUUCCUGAGGUUCCUGAACGCACCCUGUCUGGUUGCCAGGCGACGAAGCUAGGCGGGAGAUCUCUUAAUUACCCGCACCUGCAUCUCAUCAGCACACCUGGUCCUGAUCAUCACCUCUUCUCUUCAUAAGCUCUAACCUGACAUCCAUUCCCUGCCGGAUCGUUAGCAAUGAACAUCAUCCUCCCGGAACAUCCAACUCCCUUGCCUUGCCUGGCCGUCGGUGGUUUCAGUGACUUCAUUGGAUCUGCCUAUUCACUCUCAUCAACUCACCUCCGCUGCCGCUCCGUCUCCUGGAUUAUUCUAUUUUCACCUCGAGACUGUAAAUAAAUACUCACCUUCAUUUUACUCACCUUGUCCUGGUCUGCUUCUGGGUUCAGCUUUAGAGAAUCGUGACAAAAGUGGGGUGACCCAUUACAAAGUUACCUCGAUGUUGCUAUGCUUCUCACUGAAACUGGCAUUCUAAAUAUUUUUCGGUAAGGAAACAAUGUUUCGGCCUUGUAUAAAUGCUAUUUAAACAGACAAUGUAGCUAGCAUAAACUGCUACCUACUAAAUCUACCUUUACAUGUGUGGUCAACUGCACCUAGAGAGCCAUUGUAUUUACUUCUGUUUACAAGAUACCCCCCCCUUCCCUCGGC